Prosopis cineraria is the source of this 632-nucleotide long non-coding RNA. RefSeq lists it as uncharacterized. The record is from RefSeq and is a predicted model, not a curated record. Lineage: Eukaryota; Viridiplantae; Streptophyta; Magnoliopsida; Fabales; Fabaceae. The transcript is spliced from 4 exons.
CAGAAGUUGACAAGUAUUUGGCUGAAGAAAUUGAGAUGGAUAAGGAUGAUUUUAAUAUUUUAAGUUGGUGGAAGUUGAAUGAGCCUAGAUUUCCCAUUCUCUCUCAAUUGGCAAGGGAUGUUUUGGCUGUCCCAAUUUCUACUGUUGCUUCUGAGUCUACUUUCAGCACUGGAGGACGUGUGCUAGAUUCAUUUAGGAGCUCUUUAACUCCUAAAGUUGUGCAAUCUCUUGUUUGUGGUCAAGACUGGCUUCGCCACUCACUUCCGGUUCUAGUAGAAGAGAAGAUAGAUGACGCACAAAAGAUUGAGAGAGAUCUUCAAAAAAUUGCUAUAGAAGCGAAUGUGGAUGUACUAUGAGCCUUUGUUCUUAAUGACUUGAGUCAUGGCAGCAACAGCACCUGAGGCUGAGGAAUCACAAUUUGAUGCUCGUCAAUAUGACACCAAAAUUAAUGAAUUGUUGCAAGAUGCUAGUGCUAUGGUACUCCAUUUAUGAAGGUUGCUCAUUUUAUUUUGUUUUACUAAUUUGGAUAUUUGAUUAUUGUAAUGGUUUAAUUUUAAUAUUUUAAAGACUUGUUGGUUUCUAUAACUGGAUUAUAUAGUACUGUGGUUGUUUAAUUUUAAUAUUUGAAGUUA